Molecule: long non-coding RNA, 155 nt
Filed under: Dasypus novemcinctus (nine-banded armadillo)
Lineage: Eukaryota; Metazoa; Chordata; Mammalia; Cingulata; Dasypodidae
Description: lncRNA (ENSDNOG00000050485.1)
Source: RNAcentral
AGGGGAAAUUAGGAUGCCGGAAAGCGACGUAUUGGAACUUCGAGCUGAAGUGCGCAGACUGGCAAAGUUCCAGGCCAGCAGCUGCAUUCUUCCUUUCUAAAUAGUCUGCUUCCUUGAAAACACCUCUUCACAUCCAGUUUGGAGUUAAAGCUCAG